AAGUCGUAACAAGGUUUCCGUAGGUGAACCUGCGGAAGGAUCAUUAACACGUAUCCAAACGUAAAAAACCCCCCCCGUGAACAUUCAAUCCUGCUCUUGUAACCCGCGUAGUUCGCAAUCUCUGGUAAAUCAUAGCCCGGAAAGUAGUUUUGAUUCAGAGACCUCUGGCUACGUGAGAACAUUGGAACAGUUACAAUCGAGCGGUAGUUUCAUAGGCAUUGUUUCCCCAAACAGUCAGUGUCUGAAAGUGUCACUGAUUGCCCUUAUAACCCCACAGUUUAAUGCGAAGCUCAAUGUAAUACAUUGGGUAAAAAAACCGAACAACUGUUAACAAUGGAUAUCUUGGUUCUC
Molecule: unclassified non-coding RNA, 351 nt
Filed under: fungal sp.
Lineage: Eukaryota; Fungi
Description: partial internal transcribed spacer region
Rfam family: Eukaryotic small subunit ribosomal RNA (bases 1-46)
Source: RNAcentral